CCCCCCAUUAUUAUUUUUUUUAAAUUAAAAAAAAAUUUUUUGCUAUAUUAAAGGAUUUCUUUUUUCUAAAUUCAACCAUGUAUAUUACAGUUAUGUUACGAAAUAUCUUUUUUGAGAAUUAAUUAUAAAGAUUUCUUAUAUAAGCUAUCCGUGCUUAUAUGCGCUUUGUAUUAUAAUUUAAAAACAAUUUAACAAAUUGCACAUACAUUUUAAUUGAAAACACGUGAUUUAUACUUAUCUUGAAUAUACAUGUAAGUCUAAUAAGAGAUAAAGAUUAAUUAAAUUGAAAACAUAUUAAUUGAAAACAUUUAAUUCAUCACGUUCUUGAUACGUGACUUUUAGUUCAUUAUAUAUAUAAAAGAAAACGUACAAAAAUUAUUGCUAUAUAUAUAUAUAUAUAAUAAACUAAAAGUCACGUAUCCCUCAUAUCAAGAACGUGAUGAAUUACAUGUUUCAAUUAAAAUGUUUUCAUCAAAUAUAAUUAAUCUUUAUCUCUUAUUAGGCUAACGUGUACACUCAAGAUAAGUAUAAAUUGACAGUAUAAAUAUAGUCAUGUAGCAGUCUUACGUUCAAUCAGUGCAAUCGUUUUGUAAUAAUCAUAUGUGUGCAAUUUGUUAAAUUGAUUUUAAAUUAUAAUACAAAGCAAAGUUUAACAUCUUUACAAAUGAUUCUCAAUCCGCUUAAUGUUGUUAGACUUUUAUUGGCAUCUAUAAGUUCAAUAUAUCUAACAAAAACGCCAGUAACUGAAGCAGAAAUACAAUUAAAAGAAGACAUACAAAAAUUAUUGCUAGAUAGCAUUUUUCACUAUAAUGGAUUGGAAGUGAUGGAAGAAACCUACCUCGAUUAUCAAGAACCUUAUAAAUUACACAGUUUCGAAAUAAUUGAAGAUGACGAAGAAGCAUGGAGUGAAGAUAAUUUAAAUUCUCAUCUACAGUGUUCAAACAGUGAAGUAAAUUUUUACAGUACUUAUAAAAGACGAGCUGUUGAAUAUUGGCGGAAUUUAGACGAUAAUAAAGAAAUUAACCACAAAAAAAAGGCAUCGUUCUCUAAAAUCAGUACAAAGUAAAUUUAAAAGAGUUUCAUCUGAACGUCAGUUAAGACGAUGGGAAGAACAACUACAAUCAACUGGAAAUCGUUUGGAAAAAUUAUCUUAUAUCUCCAAAUUUACACAUGAUAAAUUUACUGCAGCUAUUGAAUCAGGAUUUAUGGUUCAUGAUAUCGAUUUAAAAAGAUGGGCUUUACAAGCUCAAGAAGAAAUAGGAAAUGUAAUUCCUAUAUUUAAAGCAUCUCACAGCUGGAUAUCAAGAUUUAAAAAAUUCCAUCGAAUUGUUUCAAGAAAAGUUACGAAGUUUGUAACUAAAAGAACAGUGGAAGAUUCUAUUGAUUUACAAAACUCAGCAAAUAAUUUUUUAAAAACAGUGAAACCACUUAUUGAACAGUUUGGAGCAGAAAAUGUUUAUAAUUCUGAUCAAAGUGGUUUUUAAUUAGAAAUACAUUUUGGAAGAUCAUUGUCUCCUAAAGGAAUAAAAAAAGUAGGGCGUAUCGUACAAUCUGUGUCAUCAACAACCCAUUCAUACACGAUACAACCAAUAAUAUCAUGUAAUGGUAAUUUGCUGUCACCUUUAUUUAUUGUUUUGAAAGAAGCUAACGGCGAAUUUGGACCGAGAGUACAAGAAACUUUAUUUAAACUAACAAAUGUUAUUGUAAAAGCAUCGAAAUCUGGUAAAAUGACAUCAGGUAAUAUAAAUUUCCUUUUAUAAGGUUUUAGAUUUUUAAAUAUUGAUAAUUAAAAAAAUAUAUAAAUUUGGAUAAACAAUUACAUAAAAUUAUAUAAUAAAAUUAAUCUCUGAUACAUAAUCAAUUAUCAUCUUUAUAAAAUUUUAUAUUAUAGUAGGAAGGAUGGAUAAUGAUUAAAUGUGAGACGGAAUAGGGAUGCGUAAGCAGAAACAUAAGCGGCAUAAGCAGAUGCAUAAGCAGAAGCACAUAAAGAUUUCGUAUAAGCUGAGUCUUUAUUUAAAAUGUGUCAACAAGCCGGGCGCUGGGAACAGACUGACUCUCGCUCCGCGUCUUCGCAUCGUUCGUCUUUCGAACUCGGAAUCGACCGUCCUUGGAGUCAUUGUUUGCUCCAAAAGUUAAAUUAUUAUUUAUCUUAAAUACAAGAGCCUCUAUCACGUACGGCCACCAUGGCCUUAGUCAUGCUUACUACAAUUUGGCCAGCCUGACAACAGGCUGCCUCGGCCGUCCUAAACCUAUUUUGCAUAGGAAGGAUGGAUAAUGAUUAAAUGUGAGACGGAAUAGGGAUGCGUAAGCAGAAACAUAAGCGGCAUAAGCAGAUGCAUAAGCAGAAGCACAUAAAGAUUUCGUAUAAGCUGAGUCUUUAUUUAAAAUGUGUCAACAAGCCGGGCGCUGGGAACAGACUGACUCUCGCUCCGCGUCUUCGCAUCGUUCGUCUUUCGAACUUGGAAUCGACCGUCCUUGGAGUCAUUGUUUGCUCCAAAAGUUAAAUUAUUAUUUAUCUUAAAUACAAGAGCCUCUAUCACAUCAUUUUAAAAUGUGGUUAGAAGCUUAUUUUUCAAACAUUGGUUCUAAUAGCGUUCUUCUUAUCGAUUCAUGGACCGGACAUUGUCCCAAUAUCAUUUCGGAUUUAACACCUCUAGAUAAACAUAUUACUACUAUGAUUAUACCGAAAGGUACUACAGGAAAAAUACAACUAUUAGAUGUUUACGGAUUUAGAAUUUGGAAAAAUUUUGCUAAAAGAUUUUCAGAUAUAGUUUUAUUAUUGGAAUGUGAUAUAAAUUUGCAUGAACGAAAUAAUAUAAUAAAAUUGCAAUCUUUGAUACAUAAUCAAUUGUCAUCCCCGCGAUAUCGUAACUUAUUUAAAUAUUCGUGGUUUAAAAGUGGUUAUACGAACGAAAGACUACAGGAAUUUAAAAAUCCAGUAGAAUUUAGUUUGGAUGAUACUUCAACAACAUGUGAUAUCGAAGGUUGCAAUAAUGUAGCUAUAGUAAAAUGUUCAUGGUGCAAAAAAUCAUUAUGUUUAAAACAUUUCUUCGUUGAGUAUUAUUAUUGCAAUGAGUAUAAUGAGUAAAUGAUACAAUACAAAAUGUAUAAAUUUAUUGUAUAAAUAUUUAAAAACUAUUUUAUUAAUACAUAUUUAGAAAUGAUUGUGAUGAUGUAAAUCACAAUUUUAUUAUGUAAAUAAACAAAAUAUAAAAGCAUAAGACCAAAAA
This 3230-nucleotide unclassified non-coding RNA is filed under the name Monomorium pharaonis (pharaoh ant). RNAcentral describes it as "uncharacterized LOC118645851, transcript variant X2". The record is from RNAcentral. Lineage: Eukaryota; Metazoa; Arthropoda; Insecta; Hymenoptera; Formicidae.